RNAcentral lists this non-coding RNA (163 nucleotides) under uncultured eukaryote. The record is from RNAcentral.
UCUGUUUUUUCUUAUGUGUUUCCCGACUUUUUCUUUGUCUUUAACUGUUCUCCUCUUCGCCCCUUGUGCUCAUCUUAGGAAGAGGAGGAGAAUAGUCUAAGGCCAUAUUAUUAUUAUAUCAUGAGGUAUUCCGCAUGAUACUUAUUUUCAUUUGUUUUUCUUU